This 182-nucleotide unclassified non-coding RNA is filed under the name uncultured Arachnopeziza. Its description in RNAcentral is "sequence contains ITS1". Lineage: Eukaryota; Fungi; Ascomycota; Leotiomycetes; Helotiales; Hyaloscyphaceae. The record is from RNAcentral.
GAAUGAGAUUCGGUCAGAGGGGGUAAAACCUCUCGGGCUGUCAACCUCCACCCUUGUGUAUUAUGCAAUUGUUGCUUUGGUGGGCCGCGACCCUUACGGGGAGCACCGGCUUCGGCUGGAGAGUGCCUGCCAGAGGACCCCAACUCUGUAUUUUGUAACAUCUGAGUACUAUAUAAUAGUUA